Molecule: long non-coding RNA, 2317 nt
Filed under: Aquilegia coerulea
Lineage: Eukaryota; Viridiplantae; Streptophyta; Magnoliopsida; Ranunculales; Ranunculaceae
Description: long non-coding RNA (ACOE_LNC001044)
Source: RNAcentral
GUCAAACUAUUCUGGGCAACAACUAACAAAGGGCUUCCUCUAAUCAGGACCCUUAGUAUUUAAAGAAUGGUCAGAGCAGGUACAAGCAGCUAAUGCCAAACACAACAUGCAUGUUUUUGGCAAAAGUUGUAACUUCAAAGCACCUUGGAAACUUGUAAGGGUUGUACAAAACUUGUAACUUGUCAGUCACGCAGAACAAUCAACCAUGUAAAAUAAUUUUUAGAUGAGGCCCAUUGGCAGGAGUGUGAUAUCAGAAGAAAAUAUAAACACAAGCUUUUGGAUGACUUCAAUCAUUCAUUGUGGUGUGUCUUAGAAAUCACCAUAAAUAGAUGGUAUAUUAAUGAGUACUAAAAUGAUUAAAAUCCAAAAAUAUUGGUCAUAUUCGGUGUGCAGGGACAUAAUGUUGGUUAUACUCUAUUAACUUACUUCUGUAAGACUAUUAAAAUUAACAGUUAAUUUCCAUAAUUUAUAUUGAGGAAUUCAGUCGACAACCCUAUCCAAAUUUGAAUUCUGUUGAUGAAUAAUUAAUAUAUGGAAAGACGGACCCUUGGCUGUGAACAGGUUAUCAACACUUGAUAACUGCAGAUAACCAAAGCUGGACUGUAAUUUUAAGGUUUGGCUACGAAGGAUAUGAAACAAUUUCAAGGAGAACUAACUGUGAGAGAAGACUUACCUUAUGAUGAUGAUAAUGAAGUAGAUUAUUGUGGGGUUGACGACGACGAUGAUGAGUUUUAGAAGUAGAUGAUGAAGGUGAUUGACUUUAGGAGAAGAAUUCGCAUUUGCAGCAGCGGAUGAGGGUUGAGGAGGCUUCGUUUUUCGUUGAAAAGAGAAGAGAAGGCACCUAAAUGAGAUUUAUUAGGCCACAGCUUGACAGACUUCACCGAAAAAAAGCCUAUCAAAAAGUCCAAAUCAACAAUAGCUUCGUAUUCAGCUGAAACGCAUUAAUAGAUUUAGACCUGUUAGGACAAAAAAAAGUAACACAUUAUUAAGUUCAUUCCCGAAGGCUAAAAAAAGAUCUCAAGCUUUGAAAUGUUGAAAUUCCAAAUACUCGCCGCUGCUAAAAGACCAAUCUCAACUGAGAUAAAUAUCACACCAAAGAAAUCUUUAUUUGAAUUAAACUUGAAAGAUAAUCCAUUAGUAAAUGGCUUUGUCCAAUUGACCUGGAAUGUAAUCCAAAUUAGUCAUUACAAGCACAUAAUCAAUUAUAGUGUUUGUUGUCAACACUAUAUUGUUUGUUGUCAUUUAACAUGUACUUUGUGAUGCUGCCAACACCUAAAUUCCAUUAGUAGAUGUAUACUGUAGUUGCAUAUUAAUAAUUUAAAUGUGACAACAGUUACCAAAUCAUAUGACACCAAUCAUUCCAUUAGAAAUUACACUAUAAUUCACAUAUUAUACCUGUAAUUACAGUGACCGCCAGCUCCAUUCCAGUCAUCCUAUUAUUAUAAAAAAAAAAACCAACAGGUGGAGGAACUUGGAAUAACAGUUAGAAGAAAGAAGAAAAAUAAAUAAUUACGUUUGAGAUUAAAACUGAAUAACCAUUAUAGAUUAUAAGAACACAAAAAUAUAAGAAGAAUUUAAAAACAAAACUGAAAUUGAAAACUAAAAUGUCAUGUAAAAAAUAGAAACAAACAUUAAUUUUUCCUUUUUUACACAAAGAAGUAAUUGUACUACGUACCACUGAAAACCUAGAUAAUAGAAAAUCUUAAUUUAAUCCAACUGAGUGACUUAACCAUGUUUAACACUCAACAUGCCUUGGAAGUCCAAUGACUGUAGCCAUAUUUGAUAAGCACUAAGUGUGAUUAUGACCAAAAAUUUUUAUUUGAAAUAAACCCGAAAGAUAAACAUUUUUGGAAUAAAUAUAAAUGAAUAAGUAAAACUUACACUGGCUCAAUUACUGAAUUUAGCAUUGAUUGUGCUCGUUCCUUCUCUCUUCUUAUGAGUUGCCCUAGCUUUGCCUUACUUAUCUCUUCAGUUCCAUUUGAAAAUAUAGCUUCCAAUGACUUUGUUUGAGAAGUUGAAUCACUGCCAUGUAGGUAACAUUAUAAGCAUGUUUAUUUUAUGUUACAAAUAAUGAAAAUUGUUGUUCAUGUAAUUAAAUAAAAUAAAAAAAUUAUAUUAUCUAUGUGCAAUCCUUAUGCAUUGAUUUGAAAAAACUUACAUAGGUUCAAUUACUGAAUUUAGAAUCGAUUGCGCUCGUUCCCUUUCUCUUCUCAAACGUUGUCCUUGUUUUGCCUUACUUAUCUCUUCACUGUUGGUUGAAGAAGUUUUCACACUUUUGACAGGUAUUUUUUUCUUUGUCAUGAUUGUGCUCCAAGUA